This 447-nucleotide ribosomal RNA is filed under the name uncultured bacterium. RNAcentral describes it as "partial 16S ribosomal RNA". It matches the Rfam family "Bacterial small subunit ribosomal RNA", at positions 29 to 523 of the family's 1533-position model. The record is from RNAcentral.
AACGAACGCUGGCGGCAGGCUUAACACAUGCAAGUCGAGCGCCCCGCAAGGGGAGCGGCAGACGGGUGAGUAACGCGUGGGAAUCUACCUUUUGCUACGGAAUAACUCAGGGAAACUUGUGCUAAUACCGUAUGUGCCCUUCGGGGGAAAGAUUUAUCGGCAAAGGAUGAGCCCGCGUUGGAUUAGCUAGUUGGUGGGGUAAAGGCCUACCAAGGCGACGAUCCAUAGCUGGUCUGAGAGGAUGAUCAGCCACAUUGGGACUGAGACACGGCCCAAACUCCUACGGGAGGCAGCACUGGGGAGAAUUGGAAAAUGGGCGCAAGCCUGAUCCAGCCAUGCCGCGUGAGUGAUGAAGGCCUUAGGAUUGUAAAGCGCUUUCACCGGUGAAGAUAAUGACGGUAACCGGAGAAGAAGCCCCGGCUAACUUCGUGCCAGCCGCCGCCGUAA